Long non-coding RNA from Dipodomys ordii (Ord's kangaroo rat), 1890 nucleotides. RefSeq lists it as uncharacterized. The transcript is spliced from 4 exons. NCBI's taxonomy places the organism in Eukaryota, Metazoa, Chordata, Mammalia, Rodentia, Heteromyidae. The record is from RefSeq and is a predicted model, not a curated record.
UCCUGCCUACCACUUGAAGACGUUCCUUGAGGAGGUUUGAAAAAGUUUCGCUAAUCGCCGUUGACAGUGCCUGGCUCAGUCCUCAAAAGCAGAUUGGAACUGAUUGUGUCCAUUGGGUUCUCCAGGAAGCAGAUGCUAAAAUGGAAUGAAGAGCGAACAAUUGAUUGGUGGUAACCUGUGGAAGACAAGAGGAGCUGAAACCAGGCCUGGAAAGGCUCAAAUCACCAUGAUAAGGUCUCAGUCAAUUCAGUGGAGGGUGGGAGCAUUAGAAAGAAUGGCCCUGCAUCAUUAACUGGGGACACCUGGGGAUAACUGCAGUUGGUUGAGGCACAUGGGGUGGGUAGGUUUACCUGGAGACUGUCAGCCAACCAACUCUCCCUACAGAGUGACAUGAAGGGUUUCUGGGGGAGGGAAAUCAGGGACAUACUCCUUCAUUGUUGACACAGAUUAAUUUUUUCCACUGCCCCACCUCUAAAAUCUUCAACAUCCUGCUUUCUCACCUUAAGGUCAUAUCUUUCCAACAGUCACUACCUUACAUUUGUUCUUUGAUUGUGAAACUUCCACGCCCUCAUUUCCUUCACCUUCAACAUUUCAGCCCUGUCUUGUUUUCCUUGCUUGAGCCAUUUUGUUCCAACCUCUUUAAACAGACUGCCCCCUUUCCCUUCAUGCCUCCAUGGCAAAACCCUGUUAUCUGCUGUAUUUUCCCCCAUUACUCCAGCUACUGGUUGCAACUAAAGAAAACCACUCGGCACUGUAGAUUUAAUGUCACAGUUUCCAAUCUUGGCUGAAUUCUAUAUACUACACAGAAAUUCUAUUAGCACUUGAGUACUUUCUUCUCCAAUGAAAUCUGAAGAAAAAUCUUAUAACUUUUAUUUACAACAUGUUGGAGAGCAUGAUGGGGGGCAAACAAGGUUUUAGAAUCCUGGGAAUCAGACUAAAUUGUAGCUCUUUACUUCCUGUAUGGUUGCCAAACUCCUCUGGAUCUUUUCCCCAAUGCUGAAGUGGAAUUAAUAGUUACUCUUCAUGAGAAAUGAUUGUUUUGAAGAUGACAUAAAGAUGUAAAGGUGGCUUACUGAUAACUCUCAAAUAAUUGAAAAUACAUUAGUUGAAGUGUUUUCGCUUCAGUUACUACUACCAGUUAUACAGAGAACCAAUUUUUCUACAGAGAGUAACUCAAUCUAAUUGCAUAAUGUGUUAAAUACUUUUAGUUAUUAAGAAUUCCCUUCUCCCCUAGAGCAAAGUUUAGAGAGGAGGAUUAUGUGCAUGCCUGUGGGUCAUGAAGAAAUGAUCUGCUUUCUGCUUUCUUCCAUCCCUCCCACAUACCCUUGAGGACCCAAGACAGGCAGGGAAGAAUUUAAUCUCCUUAUGCAAGUGCUGUCAAGGAUGCUCUCUCCUUUCACCGUAAAUGAUCUUGCUUCUUUUCAUAAGCUCAGUACAAAACCAGCUAGUGACUGCAAGUUCUACCAACCAAGGUGUCAGUACAAGCAGUUCCAGUAAACAUCAGUAGUCUCUGGGGAUACUAGAUGUCUUGGCUGGACUCCAUUCUUCCCACUGCCACACCUUCUCCCAAGCCCUGCUUCAGUGUUCCAGAUCUUACCUACUUUUGCACUGGGAUUGCAAAUCCAGCUCUAAAGCAAAGAUACAGGCACUGGCCAGGCCACCAAACCCAGUAGCUAAGCAGACAGUCACGUGGGAGUUAUCAAGACAUCGUAAUUGAAGAAUCAAGGAGUCUAUUACCUUGGAUUCAAAGAAUUUAGUAAAUAUUUCUUAACACUGUAAUAUUUCACCAUAAUUCCUAGUAUAAUUAGUAACCUUAAAGGAAAGAUCAGGAAAAGAUAGCAAGCUAUACUCUAUUCUUAGACAUGAAUAAAAAACAUAUUAUGCAACUGA